RNAcentral lists this small nucleolar RNA (107 nucleotides) under Eutrema salsugineum. Its description in RNAcentral is "Plant small nucleolar RNA R71". It matches the Rfam family "Plant small nucleolar RNA R71". From Rfam's summary of the family: R71 is a member of the C/D box family of snoRNAs containing the C (UGAUGA) and D (CUGA) box motifs. The record is from Rfam by way of RNAcentral. Lineage: Eukaryota; Viridiplantae; Streptophyta; Magnoliopsida; Brassicales; Brassicaceae.
AACCCAUGGUGUGGGCAUUGGUUUGUGUAGCUCUUGAAUCUCUCAUAUGCUUCACCAAAACUCUCAUUGCUGUGCUGAGUAAAGCAAGAGAUUUAUUUUCUCAGUUU